CGACGGCGUGCUUAACACAUGCCAGUCGAACCGAACAUUCGGGUUAGUGGCGGACGGGUGAGUAACGUCGAAAUCUUGCCCUCAGCGAGUGGGGACAACAGCUGGAAACGUGCUGCUAAUACCCCGAUAUGCCGCGAGGUGAAAUGAAUUUCGCCUGAGGGAUGAGCUCGCGUCUGAUUAGCUAGUUGGUGUAAGUAAUGGCUCACCAAGGCAUCGAUCAGAUAGCUGGUCUGAGAGGAUGAUCAGCCACACUGGGACUGAGACACGGCCAGACUCCUACGGGAGGCAGCAGUGGGGAAUUUUCCGAAUGGGCGAAAGCCUGACGGAGCAACGACCGCGUGAGGGAUGAAGGCCUCUGGGCUGUAAAACCUCUUUAUAUCAAGGGAAGAAGAUCUGACGGUACUUGAUGACAUAACGCCCACGGCUAAUUCCGUGCCAGCAGCCGCGGUUAAUACGGGAGUGGCAAGCGUUAUACGGCAAUUAUUAGGGCGUAAAAGCGUCCAGACAAGCGGCCUUCAAAGAUACUGCAUAGUUACAAAAGUGGAGCUUCAACUCCCAUCAUUGGCAGUCGGAAAACUAGUUGGGCUUAAGUGUGGUACGGGCAGAGGGAAUUCCCAGGUCGUACGCGAGUAAAAAUGCGUAGAUCUCCGGGAAGGAAACACAAAUUGGCAAAGGCACAUCUGACUAGGCCAUCACAUUAACAGCCUCAAUUGACCUAAAGCCAG
RNAcentral lists this ribosomal RNA (725 nucleotides) under uncultured cyanobacterium. RNAcentral describes it as "bacterial SSU rRNA". It matches the Rfam family "Bacterial small subunit ribosomal RNA", at positions 37 to 763 of the family's 1533-position model. The record is from RNAcentral. Lineage: Bacteria; Bacillati; Cyanobacteriota.